This is a microRNA precursor of Myotis lucifugus (little brown bat), 106 nucleotides long. NCBI's taxonomy places the organism in Eukaryota, Metazoa, Chordata, Mammalia, Chiroptera, Vespertilionidae. The record is from Ensembl.
CUGCUGGUUCCCCUCCGCCUAGGUCCCAAGAGCCUGACUUGUGAUGUUACUGAAAUACCUCACAAGUUAGGGUCUCAGGGACUAGGAAAAGUCUGGUUUGCUGCGG